RNAcentral lists this ribosomal RNA (237 nucleotides) under uncultured bacterium. RNAcentral describes it as "partial 16S ribosomal RNA". It matches the Rfam family "Bacterial small subunit ribosomal RNA", at positions 118 to 352 of the family's 1533-position model. The record is from RNAcentral.
UGAGGAACAUGACCUUCGGCGGGGGAUAGCCGGCCCAACGGCCGGGUAAUACCGCGUACGACCACUCGGGGACAUCCCCGAUUGGUGAAAGCAGCAAUGCGCCGAAAGAGUGCCUCGCGGCCUAUCAGCUAGUUGGUGGGGUAAUGGCUCACCAAGGCGACGACGGGUAGCUGGUCUGAGAGGAUGGCCAGCCACAUUGGGACUGAGACACGGCCCAGACUCCUACGGGAGGNAGCG